GGCAUAGGACUGCAAAUAGCAGUCCCCUUCAACGAUGGCAGCGAUGGGACAUGACCAUGGUAUCGUAAAUUGUGUUUUGGGGGCCUUACAAUGGUCCCCAAUGUCCCCAUUUUGCCUUGAAAGUGGAUGAAAGAAAAAAAAAUUAGAAGAAGAGAAGAAGAAGAGAAGAAGAAGAGAACAGGAAGGGAAGGAAGGGGAAAAGAAAGAAAAAAAAGAGAAGCAUGAUAGAGAGAGGAGAAGGGGAAGCAAAAAAAAUAGAAGAGAAGAAAAGGAAAGGAGAAGAGGUUGUGUUUGGGAUUUAAGAAAAGAAUUAGGGCUGUGUUUAGGGUUUGAAAAAAAUUAAGAAGUUAUAUUUGGGGUUAGAAGGAUUUGAUAUUUAAAAAAAUCAUAAAAAGUAUUUUUUUUAUUUAGUAAUUUUUUUGUUAUAAAUAAAUGUUAAUUUUUUUGUUGUUUUUGAUUUAUUUCGGAAUUAAUUUUUAUUUUUAUUUUUGUAAGGUAUUAUUUGGUUAAAAAGAGC
RNAcentral lists this long non-coding RNA (517 nucleotides) under Gossypium raimondii (Peruvian cotton). Its description in RNAcentral is "long non-coding RNA (GRAI_LNC001535)". Lineage: Eukaryota; Viridiplantae; Streptophyta; Magnoliopsida; Malvales; Malvaceae. The record is from RNAcentral.